RNAcentral lists this ribosomal RNA (318 nucleotides) under uncultured bacterium. Its description in RNAcentral is "bacterial SSU rRNA". It matches the Rfam family "Bacterial small subunit ribosomal RNA", at positions 28 to 327 of the family's 1533-position model. The record is from RNAcentral.
GAUGAACGCUGGCGGCGUGCUUAACACAUGCAAGUCGAACGAAGCACUUUUACAGAUUUCUUCGGAAUGAAGUUUUAGUGACUGAGUGGCGGACGGGUGAGUAACGCGUGGGUAACCUGCCUCACACAGGGGGAUAACAGUUGGAAACGGCUGCUAAUACCGCAUAAGCGCACAGUACCGCAUGGUACAGUGUGAAAAACUCCGGUGGUGUGAGAUGGACCCGCGUCUGAUUAGCUAGUUGGCAGGGCAACGGCCUACCAAGGCGACGAUCAGUAGCCGACCUGAGAGGGUGACCGGCCACAUUGGGACUGGAGACAC